Pantherophis guttatus is the source of this 359-nucleotide non-coding RNA. The record is from RefSeq and is a predicted model, not a curated record. NCBI's taxonomy places the organism in Eukaryota, Metazoa, Chordata, Lepidosauria, Squamata, Colubridae.
AAGACAUCCGAAGGCCGUACCUGUGGCGCAGUUCGGCUAUAACCGCCCUGAUAUCGACCGUGCUGAAACGGGACUUCAUGGUGGACGGAAAGGAGCCCCGCUCCGUCUACACGGCUUCCCUAUAGCAGUUCCCAGGCGCUCCUACGAUAGGAGGCGACCGGGCCGCACGCCUGCGCGCCGGAUUACGGAACUAUGGCGAGACGGCGGGACCAAACUUCUUUAUUUCGCGGAGGAAGGCGGAGCCAAAACGACUAGUUCCACUACUAGGCACAUGUGGAACUAAAAUGUACUGAAAUGAAUAAUGGAAGAACUGUGCUUGUGCAAAAUCCAAACUACUUCCAAAUAAUUUUUGAAGCAUA